UUCGCUGGAAAAUGGAUGGAACUAGAACAGAUCGUGCUGAGUGAGACAAGCCAAGAACAGAGUCAAACAGUGGAUGGUCUCCCUGAUACCAGGGUGUUAGAAUUAAAAUGCAAAGAGACAGAACAAAGUAAACAGGUCUCAAGAUACCAAAACUCAGUAAAAAGCAGAGGACACAGAAUGAGUGGAGAGUGUGUGAGAAUAGUAAUAAGAGAACAGGAGGAGAAUAUGGCUUACAAUUGAC
Molecule: long non-coding RNA, 241 nt
Organism: Perognathus longimembris pacificus (Pacific pocket mouse)
Lineage: Eukaryota; Metazoa; Chordata; Mammalia; Rodentia; Heteromyidae
Exons: 3
Source: RefSeq, a predicted model, not a curated record